RNAcentral lists this transfer RNA (74 nucleotides) under Aeromonas phage Akh-2. RNAcentral describes it as "tRNA-Leu". It matches the Rfam family "tRNA". Rfam says of the family: Transfer RNA (tRNA) molecules are approximately 80 nucleotides in length. Their secondary structure includes four short double-helical elements and three loops (D, anti-codon, and T loops). Lineage: Duplodnaviria; Heunggongvirae; Uroviricota; Caudoviricetes; Demerecviridae. The record is from RNAcentral.
GCUCCCAUGAUGGAAUUGGCAUACAUACUAGACUUAAAAUCUAGGUUCUGUGGGUUCGAAUCCCACUGGGAGUA